CGCAAGUGUUAUGUGUGUGCGUGUUCGCAUUCAAACCGGCCACUUCUGUCAGCGUGUGUGCGAACGGAGAUAGAAAAGCACAGAGCAGUGGCAGAAAGAUGUCAAAAAAGAGAAGCAGUGGCUUACUGGCAAUCAACUUCGCAACACGUUUGCUUUCAUGUAUGAAGGUGUCUCUGGUAAAACUCAGCCCAAGUGUGCCGUGCAGAUAACGAUGGACGGACCGACUGCAUCUCUACCUUGUGCUCUACUCACCUCUGUCGAGUCGCGGCUACUGCCACUCUCCCCUCCCUGAUCCCCACUUCUAGGAUGCAGAAGUGGAAUGUCGGUUUGUCGUUGAAGGUGGUAGUGGAGGGUGCGUGCUGACGGGUGGGGAGCGGAGGGAGUAAGGGCGUCCGUGCGAUCGUCUUCAUCUCCAGAGCACACGAGUCCGGGACACUUGACACCAUUUUAUUCUCUAGCUCGGAAAACAACCGAGUUGGGCGGCAGUUCCAUGGCAGCGUGGAGGCCCGUUGCAUGAAACGCGGCGAACGUCGUUUUUCUUUUUUCCUUUGCGUAUGUGUGUGUAUGCGCCUUCUUUGUUUGCUAUCCUUUUCGUUUUUCGCGCCUCUCACCCAUUCCUUUUUUUUUCCUGUUGACAGCGCUUCAGAAAUGCCCAAGAGAGCUCGUUGCUUGUGUGUGGGUGUGUGUGAGUGUAUGUGCCCCGCCCCCGCCCACCCCUCCCUCCUCCCUCACCGAUUGCACAACUCAUGCGCGCACACAGUAGUCUAUGAGCGCUGCAUUCCAGAAAGGGAAGUCGAUGGCUCUCAACAGGACGCCUAUAUGCACGAUCAUGUUGCCUUUGCGUUCUCCUUGUCUUUGAUCUCUCCAUCCAUCUACCCAUCCACCCACCCGCGCUUGUCUACGUCCUCUUCUCUGUCGGCCAUUUUUCGUUUCUGCGUAGGAUUCUUCCAUGAAGCUCCCUUUUCAUCUCUUCCCUUGGUAAGAAAGCAACAACCCCACAAAAAAAAAACGGCUCCCUCUUGUGUUGUUGGUGUCGGUGUUGUUGGUUGCCGCCUCGAGGCGGCACACGUUUUUUUUGUCUGUUUUCUUUGUUUUGUUUUGUCGUCACUGGUUGCCUCUGCAGGAGCACUCGAUAUGCACAUGUAUAUGCCGCUCCCUUUGACUCAACGCUCUCUUGUCGGUCCUCGCUGUCCCACUGUGCUUUUAUCCUCGCGUGUGUGUGGUUGUGUGUGUUCGAAUGUGGACACGAUCAUGCUGAUGCAAUGAACGAAGGAAAGACGCGAUUUGUGCACAGCAGUGAAAGAAAAGCGAGGGAUACAGGAACCUCCAUCCGUGGCCCAACUGGCCCUCUCACUAUCGUCACUUUCCAGCGUUUUCGUACGCAAUGAAAACGAAAGGAGGACGGGAGAGAGAUGGGAGAGUAGGCAGAGGAAGCUGGAUACGUGAGCGAGGAACCCUCUUGUUUGCCUGUGUGGAUCGGUGGGGGUUUAUGGAUGGCACGGCAUGUCAGCUGCUCAAGGUUGUCAUGCCUCAUCUUACCCCCCCCAUGCCUGGUCCAGCAAGUUGAAUUUCGCGUAAGUCACCUUUUCAUCGCUAGUGAUGCAGCACGUCCCUCGCUUCCUCCCUCGCACACCUCUGUCUCUCUCCCUUUCGUGCUGUGCCUAUUCCUUGGCACUUUUCCUGAUCCAUCACCACGGCGCGCACACAAACCAACCAACCCACUCGUUUUCUUUUGUUGUUGCGGAUGUAGCGUCGUCCUCUCGUAUUCAACUCUUCCAUUAAUCUCUCCUACUGCUUCAAUCUCACUGCUCUCCCUUGUGCGGUUACAAAAAAAAAAG
This 1838-nucleotide unclassified non-coding RNA is filed under the name Leishmania donovani. RNAcentral describes it as "gene:unknown". The record is from RNAcentral. Lineage: Eukaryota; Euglenozoa; Kinetoplastea; Trypanosomatida; Trypanosomatidae.